UGAGGAAUAUUGGUCAAUGGGGGCAACCCUGAACCAGCCAAGUCGCGUGAAGGAUGAAGGUCUUAUGGAUUGUAAACUUCUUUUAUACAGGAAUAAAUUGGGGGACGUGUCCCCUUUUGCAUGUACUGUAUGAAUAAGGAUCGGCUAACUCCGUGCCAGCAGCCGCGGUAAUACGGAGGAUCCGAGCGUUAUCCGGAUUUAUUGGGUUUAAAGGGUGCGCAGGCGGGAUGUUAAGUCGGCGGUGAAAUUUUGCAGCUCAACUGUAAAAGUGCCUUCGAUACUGGCUUCCUUGAGUGUGGAUGAAGUAGGCGGAAUUUGUGGUGUAGCGGUGAAAUGCUUAGAUAUCACGAGGAACUCCGAUUGCGCAGGCAGCUUACUAAGCCACAACUGACGCUCAUGCACGAAGGCGUGGGGAUCAAAC
Molecule: ribosomal RNA, 421 nt
Filed under: uncultured bacterium
Lineage: Bacteria
Description: bacterial SSU rRNA
Rfam family: Bacterial small subunit ribosomal RNA
Source: RNAcentral